RNAcentral lists this long non-coding RNA (1836 nucleotides) under Homo sapiens (human). RNAcentral's name for it is "HSALNT0305660". The record is from RNAcentral. Lineage: Eukaryota; Metazoa; Chordata; Mammalia; Primates; Hominidae.
ACUGACUGUCUUUUUGGACUCAGCCCACUUGCAUCCGAGUGAAUAAACAGCCUUGCUGCUUACACAAAGCCUGUUUAGGUGGUCUUCUAUAUGGACACGCAUGACAAUAUUUACAACAAAUACCAAGGAAGAGCUAAGAGCACAUAGCAUUUCCCAGGCUUAUUAGACUGUGGGAUCAACCUCUUUAAGAAAGCAUUUUGCAGAAUUGUUGUUCACAGGUCAUUCUGCAGUGUGAAGUUUUUUUUGCAAUAAGAUCCUUACUCUAGAGUUAACUUCACUAGGAAGUACACUCUGGGUGUUUACCUUUAGAGCUUCAGUUUCUACAAGAAUUUGGCACCGGUUGGGUCUUGUAGAAAUAUUUACUGCAUGGAGUUGAAAGAAGAGUCUGGACUGGGAGAAGGAUGUAUGGAUAAAGAACAAGACCCAGAAUCCGUAGCCAGCAUGAUGAGUUCAGAGACCUGGCCCCUACCCUGGGAGUAGCACAUUCAGUCAGAGAGGUUUAGGUGGAUUCAUCCAAAUACUUUAAUCCCAGAGCUCUGUCCUACAAAAACCAACAGGCUUGCUCAACUGUAGCAGUCAACAAGAAUUCAUGGUGCUUGGUUGGACUGCAUACAUAUUAUCUUUUUCCUUUAGAAAGCUGUGAAUUCCUUGGCUGUUUUAUUUUUGAAAUAAAUGUGUCAAUUCCAUUUUUCUGCCAUUUCUGCUACUUCUUUUCUCUAUAGAAACCUGGAUUUGUUACUGAGCUUUAGGUAUAAAACAGGUUUAUUAAGCUUAAUUGUUUUACUAUUACCAUAGUAACCAUUGUAUUUCCGUCACAGUAACUCUGAACUGUAAGCCAGUAAGCCAUUGGUCCUGAUGGUAAAGAUAGAAACCCACCUCCCUGCACCUCAGAUUCUACACCUCAGAGAAUUUCCAGGCUCUAAUUCCUUCAAUUAUGCCCCUUCUUUCUAGCAUUUUAAGUGCCCCUCUCUGAUUUUUUUUCAAACUCACACCAUGGUGGUCUUGAUUCAACAAUGAAGUCACAGUAGGCAUUGCAGUGGUUAUUUUAUGAAUCCACACAAUUUACAGAUUGCUCCUGAUAAAGCUCUAAAGAGUUUUCACAAUGUGUUUAUUCUGAAAACUACUCUCUACAUAGCCCAGUAUUUUUCCAAUACAAAUAAAUUUUAACCAACAUUACAACAACAAAAAAUUUUGAUGUGCAUUGAAAUAGCUAGUCAAAUUGGCCUCACAGUAGCAAUAAAAUAAUCUGAGAUAAUAGUUUUGUUUGAUUUUUUAUUUCAUGCAUAAUUUAUUUACGAGUAAGCAACAUAUAUUUUACAUUGUUCCUCAUGUCAUUGUAUGUUUUAAUACUGUGAAGUUUACUCUGAACUCUUUGGAUCCCAAUCUUAAAUCUAAUCAAAUCAAAAUAAAUAUAUAGAACAGCUCAAUAUAUGACACAUAGUAGGCACUUAAUAAAUAGUACCUAUUUUAUUAACAUGAUUAUUUCCUUUUUAAUAUUAUUAUGUGAAUAUAUUCUAGAUAGAAACUUUUAGAAUCUUAUUACCAAUUAUAUGUGUUAAGUCAAGUUUAGCCUAAAGAUGCCUCCUUCCAUAUUUUAAGUUCAACCUAAAAGUUUCUCUGUACAUUGUGAACUAUAACCUACACAGAGGUGUAAACAGACUGUAGUCUACUCUUGUGCCAAUCAAUCACUGAGCUUUGGUUCAUCAAAGGUGGUCAAUGUUCAAAUCAUGUUCAAAUAAGGCAAAUGCCGAGCUGUAAACAAUAUGGCUGUUUCUGUACCUCACAUCCACUUUCUGUAUCACUUUCCUUUUUCUGUCCAUAAAUCUUCUUCCCCCA